AUACUUGGAUAACUGUGGUAAUUCUAGAGCUAAUACAUGCACCAAAGCUCCGAUUUUUGAAGAGCGCAUUUAUUAGAACAAAACCAAUCGGGCAAUUGCCCGUAAGUUGGUGACUCUGAAUAACUUCAGCUGAUCGCAUGGUCUUGCACCGGCGACGUAUCUAUCAAGUGUCUGCCUUAUCAACUUUCGAUGGUAGUUUAUAUGCCUACCAUGGUAGUAACGGGUAACGGAGAAUAAGGGUUCGACUCCGGAGAGGGAGCCUGAGAAACGGCUACCACAUCCAAGGAAGGCAGCAGGCGCGCAAAUUACCCACUCUCGGCAUGAGGAGGUAGUGACGAAAAAUAACGAGGCCGUUCUCUAUGAGGCCGGUUAUCGGAAUGGGUACAAUCUAAACCCUUUAACGAGGAUCUAUGAGAGGGCAAGUCUGGUGCCAGCAGCCGCG
RNAcentral lists this ribosomal RNA (442 nucleotides) under Atractis sp. LP-2015. RNAcentral describes it as "SSU rRNA". It matches the Rfam family "Eukaryotic small subunit ribosomal RNA", at positions 135 to 578 of the family's 1831-position model. The record is from RNAcentral. Lineage: Eukaryota; Metazoa; Nematoda; Chromadorea; Rhabditida; Atractidae.